This 398-nucleotide ribosomal RNA is filed under the name uncultured Acetivibrio sp. RNAcentral describes it as "bacterial SSU rRNA". It matches the Rfam family "Bacterial small subunit ribosomal RNA", at positions 355 to 768 of the family's 1533-position model. The record is from RNAcentral. Lineage: Bacteria; Bacillati; Bacillota; Clostridia; Acetivibrionales; Acetivibrionaceae.
UCGGGAAUAUUGCGCAAUGGAGGAAACUCUGACGCAGUGACGCCGCGUGCAGGAAGAAGGUUUUUCGGAUUGUAAACUGCUUUAGACAGGGAAGAAACAAGACAGUACCUGUAGAAUAAGCUCCGGCUAACUACGUGCCAGCAGCCGCGGUAAUACGUAGGGAGCAAGCGUUAUCCGGAUUUAUUGGGUGUAAAGGGAGCGUAGACGGCAAUGCAAGUCUGAAGUGAAAGGACGGGGCUUAACCCUGUGACUGCUUUGGAAACUGUGUAGCUUGAGUGCCGGAGGGGUAAGCGGAAUUCCUAGUGUAGCGGUGAAAUGCGUAGAUAUUAGGAGGAACACCAGUGGCGAAGGCGGCUUACUGGACGGUAACUGACGUUGAGGCUCGAAAGCGUGGGGAG